AGUGAGAAUGCCGGAAUGAGUAGCGAGAAUUAUGUGAGAAUCAUAAUGGCCGAAAGACUGAGGUUUUAGAAGGAAGGUUCGUCCGCUUCUAGUUAGCCGGGGGCUAAGGCGAGGCCGAGAGGCGUAGUCGAUGCACAUACGGUAGAGAUUCCGUAGCCACCUUGAAUUUAAACUGAGGGACACAUUGAAAGGGUAUAUCCCGGGCGUUGGUUGACCCGGGCGUAAGGGAGCUAACAUAUCAGCGAAGUAUACUUGGACAGUGGCGAGAAAAGCUCAGUGUAUAUAAUCAGGGUGCCCGUACUGCAAACCGACACAGGUAGUCAGGAAGAGAAUUCUAAGGCCAACGGGAGAAGGAUUGUUAAGGAACUCGGCAAAUUGACCCCGUAACUUCGGAAUAAGGGGUGCUCACGAGAGUGAGCCGCAGUGAAUAGGUCCAGGCAACUGUUUAUCAAAAACACAGCUCUCUGCUAAAUCGUAAGAUGAUGUAUAGGGGGUGACACCUGCCCGGUGCUGGAAGGUUAAGAGGAGGAGUGCAAGCUCCGAAUUGAAGCCCCAGUAAACGGCGGCCGUAACUAUAACGGUCCUAAGGUAGCGAAAUUCCUUGUCGGGUAAGUUCCGACCCGCACGAAUGGUGUAAUGAUCUGGACACUGUCUCAACAAUCCACCCGGCGAAAUUGUAGUACCGGUGAAGAUGCCGGUUACCCGCGGCAAGACGGAAAGACCCCAUGGAGCUUCACUGCAACUUGAUAUUGGGUUUCGGUAUUCUAUUUACAGGAUAGGCGGGAGACAUGGAAGCAAGCACGCCAGUGUUUGUGGAGUCAACCUUGGGAUACCGCUACUAGAGUAUUGGAAUUCUAACCUGCGGCCUUGAAUCAGGUCGGGGGACAUUGUCAGGUGGGCAGUUUGACUGGGGCGGUCGCCUCCAAAAGAGUAACGGAGGCGUUCAAAGGUUCACUCAGCAUGGACGGAAACCAUGCCUUAGAGUGCAAACGCAUAAGUGAGCCUAACUGCGAGACUGACGGGUCGAGCAGUAACGAAAGUUGGAGUUAGUGAUCCGGUGGUAUGUGAGUGGAAAUGCCAUCGCUCAACGGAUAAAAGCUACCCUGGGGAUAACAGGCUGAUCUCCCCCAAG
This 1132-nucleotide ribosomal RNA is filed under the name human gut metagenome. RNAcentral describes it as "bacterial LSU rRNA". It matches the Rfam family "Bacterial large subunit ribosomal RNA", at positions 1287 to 2496 of the family's 2925-position model. The record is from RNAcentral.